Molecule: ribosomal RNA, 507 nt
Filed under: uncultured bacterium
Lineage: Bacteria
Description: partial 16S ribosomal RNA
Source: RNAcentral
GGAGUUAGCCGGUGCUUCUUCUGUGAGUGAUGUCCUUCCUGCCGGUUAUUGACCCGCAGGCCUUCUUCCUCACUGAAAGUGCUUUACAACCCGAAGGCCUUCUUCACACACGCGGCAUGGCUGGAUCAGGGUUGCCCCCAUUGUCCAAUAUUCCCCACUGCUGCCUCCCGUAGGAGUCUGGGCCGUGUCUCAGUCCCAGUGUGGCUGAUCAUCCUCUCAGACCAGCUACGGAUCGUCGCCUUGGUGAGCCGUUACCUCACCAACCAGCUAAUCCGACAUAGGCUCAUCCGAUAGCGCGAGGCCCGAAGGUCCCCCGCUUUCCCCCGUAGGGCGUAUGCGGUAUUAGCCUGGGUUUCCCCAGGUUAUCCCCCACUACCGGGCAGAUUCCUAUGCAUUACUCACCCGUCCGCCGCUCGCCACCAGGGAGCAAGCUCCCCGUGCUGCCGCUCGACUUGCAUGUGUUAGGCCUGCCGCCAGCGUUCAAUCUGAGCANAUACAACUACUCGA